AUGUGUGCCAAGCUCGAAGAAUACUGUCACAACUUCGAGUUGGAGACCGAGCGGAUUGAGAGGGAUCUGGAUCCGGCCAGGUCGAUUGUCAGGGACAAGGCCGAUUUGGGCAUUCUCCGACUGGAAGCCCGCCUCAACGAUGCCUUGGGAUAUAUCAUUCGCCCACGUGGCAUGGUGAGCAGGAUCGACAAGGAGAUGUGGCCAGAGGAGAUGCUCCAGAAUGAUCUGGAGACGAUGAUGGCUCUCCUCAACGAAAUCCCCCGUCGAGUACAAAAAUGGAAGAGAUCCGCCGCCCACUGUAGAGUUGGCAUGGCGAUAUCCCUCGUCGUCCUCCACUACAAGGACGCAAACAAGGAGAAGCUGAAGGCUCUCAAGGUUGCCAACACGAAGAAGCUCAAGUUUGAAGAAUUCAUGGAGACAUUCAUCGAGGCCAUUGUCGAGCCCACCAGCCCCUCAGAUGCGUGA
This 465-nucleotide ribosomal RNA is filed under the name Triticum aestivum (bread wheat). RNAcentral's name for it is "partial small subunit ribosomal RNA". The record is from RNAcentral. Lineage: Eukaryota; Viridiplantae; Streptophyta; Magnoliopsida; Poales; Poaceae.